Molecule: ribosomal RNA, 699 nt
Filed under: Rotylenchus buxophilus
Lineage: Eukaryota; Metazoa; Nematoda; Chromadorea; Rhabditida; Hoplolaimidae
Description: eukaryotic LSU rRNA
Rfam family: Eukaryotic large subunit ribosomal RNA
Source: RNAcentral
CCCGUGAGGGAAAGUUGCAAAGCACUUUGAAGAGAGAGUUAAAGAGGACGUGAAACCGAUGAGGUGGAAACGGACAGAGCUGGCGUAUCUGGCCUGUAUUCAGCCGUGGGCUCGCUGGCGUCAGGGAUGCCGCUCUCCAGAUUGGGACGGUGGCCUGUCUGCCGGUGGGUUUGUGGUGCAUUUGCAGGUGGAGUGCGCCGAGGCGCUCGGGUGCAGCGGCAUGAGCCCAGUUUUGAGGCCAGCCUCGCAAGAGGUCUGGUACCCGGACUGUUGGGGAGUGCUGUUUGCCCUGGGUGUACAAAAAGGGUAAUGGUCUCGGGCCCGGGUGGGCGCCGAGCUGGCAGUCGGAGGCGGUCGCAUGCGACACGUGCCAGCGGUCAGUUCGGUCCUGCUCGAGCUCACAUCUGCCCGUCCUCGGUGUAAAAGCCGGUCAUCUGUCCGACCCGUCUUGAAACACGGACCAAGGAGUUUAGCGUGUGCGCGAGUCAUUGGGCGUUGAAAACCCAAAGGCGCAAUGAAAGUGAAGGUCUCCCUUGCGGAGCUGAUGUGUGAUCCCGGGCGCUGCGGUGCCCGGGCGCAACAUAGUCCCGUCCCGACCGCUUGCGGUGGGGCGGAGACAGAGCGUACGCGCUGAGACCCGAAAGAUGGUGAACUAUUCCUGAGCAGGAUGAAGCCAGUGGAAACUCUGGUGGAAGUCCG